This 4043-nucleotide long non-coding RNA is filed under the name Phascolarctos cinereus (koala). RNAcentral's name for it is "lncRNA (ENSPCIG00000033084.1)". The record is from RNAcentral. Lineage: Eukaryota; Metazoa; Chordata; Mammalia; Diprotodontia; Phascolarctidae.
GGGCCGGGCCGGGCCGGGACGCGCGUCAUCCGCGUCAUCCGAGCGUCAUCCGCCGCUGCAGCGGCGUCCUCGCGUCAGCGCCGCUGCGCCGGCGCGCGGACGUCCACGGCUGCGUGGUACGUGAGUUUGCGUGCGCGCGCCUACGUGCGCGCCUCCGCUCGGCUCACUGGGAGAGCCAAAGGAGGAGCCCGAGGCUCCCGGGGAUGUACGCGUGCGCGGAACUACCCAGGUGUGCUCUGGGCCAGAAGAGGAAGGGGGAUCCACCGUCCUCUACCCCGCCCCCAGGGAUGUUACGACAAUAUGCCCCUGCGCCUGCGCCAAAAGACUCACGCUUGCUUUGGGAAAGGAGAGGGAAAGGGAAAGGGAAGGAAGGAAGGAAGAAGAGAUGGGAAGAAGCUGGGCCUGAGGCUUCUGGAAAGAGGCAAAAAGGGAGAAACAAGAAAAGGAAGGCUGGCAAGGAACGGGAUAGAGAGGGGGGAAAGAAUCAGGGAAUAAAUUCACGAGUUCAUCAAAAGGCUACUGGAAAGACCCUGCCCUCAAGGACCUGGGGCCACGUGUGCUUCUCAGUUUCGGUCGGUUAACCAAGCAAAUCCAGCAUUAACUCCGUUUUGUAGGGAAGAACCAAGUGAUGGCCGGAUUCCAAGCCUGCUCUCCACCUCAAAUGCAGUUUUCCGCUAGUGGAGGGUGGGAUCAGAGGAGGAAGGGAGGAGAAGGAUGACUGUUGAUAUCAGUCAGAGCCUUUCACUCUGCUUUCUGAUCCAUGACUGGAAGCAUUGGAGACCCAUUCCAGCCCAGUGCUGGCGCUCAGCCUGUUUUCUGCCUCUCCCAAAGGGUAGCUCAGGACUCCCUUUUGGCCUGAUGAGAGGAAAUGAAAGAUGAAACACCUAACAGUCGUAGAAUUGGGAGGAUUCUACAGGCCCUACAGCCAGGCCCCAAUUAGUGUGAACAAUGAACCCCUUUGAAGAAGUCACCUGUUUUCAAAUUUACACUAAAUGUGAUAAUUAUGGUAAAUGUUUCCUUUGGAAACAUGAAGUCAAAUUUGAAUAAUGGGACCGCUUAGGGGGACUUUAUAGUAAUUUAUAAUAAGCAGAAGCUGACUUACUCAAGGUUCUCAGGGCAAACCUUGAGCUGUAAGCACUGCUCCACACUACCUACCCUACCUAUCUCUACGCUAAGGAGAAUUAAAAAUUAGGUUGAGCCCCCUGCCUGCUGUCUUUUCAUUCUUGUCUGGCUAUAGCGGGGCUCCGCUUAAUAUACACUAGAGAAGCCUCAGCUGGUGGGGGAAGCUUAGCUAAUUCUACUAUGUAAAUCAUAGUAUCAUGGACAGAGCUGGGAUACAGAUAGGAUUUAUGGAUAGGAAAACUGAGGCCCAGAAAGGAUUUACACAGUGUCCAUCACACCAACAGCUCUUUCUUCGUCUGGAUAUUUUCUGGUCUUUGUCUCACUCCUCCUUCUGACAUGGGAGACACAGAUGGAAAGAGCCCUGAUUCCAAUCCUGCCUCAUGUUUAACGCUGCUGUGACCUGGAGCAAGUCACCACCUCUCCCGGCUUCAGCGUCUUCUUUAAAAUGAAAAGUUUGGCUAGGUGGCUUCUGAGAUCCUCCUCACACUUUUGGAUCUGCCACCCUACGACUCCAUGGCCUCAAGCUCCACUUCCUGCUCCCCCAUUAGUGUAAGAGCCUGGAGGGCACAGCCCAGCAUCCUAGUUAUCUUUGCAGUGGAAGGUGCUAGCACCUUGCUGCCUGCACACAGCAGGUGCUUGGUAAAUGUCUGUUAAUGGAUGAAUUUAGUAAAUAGCAAAGCCAGGUCUCUGAAUUUCCAAACUGGUUGUCUUCCAACUACAGAGCUAUCUAGGCAUUGCUUGGGGGUAGUGUAAAGCAAUUCAAUCUAGUCAAUCAAUCACCAUUCAUUUAACACCUUCCCUAUGCCAGCCACUCUAAGCUAGAGGAGAUACAAAAAGAGGAAAAAGAAAGCCCCCUGCCCUCAGGGAGCUCACAAUCUAGUGAGAUAAACAACUAUUAAAUGCCUACUAUGCUGCCAAGUUCAAGCCACUUGAUGAUACAAAUUUUAAAAGUCUUUCCCCUUAAAGAGUUUACACCAUCCUUGGGGUUAGGAGGAUAAUUUGUAACAAAAUAGUGAAAGAUUAAAGACAACAUAGAUUCCUGAACAGCACUGAGGGGAGGGGACCGAGGCUCAGCAAAGGUCUGCUGUCAAAAACAGGCCCCUGAGCUGAUCCUGCAAAGAGGCCAAGUUGGGGGGGCAGCUAGGUGGUACAGCGGAUGGAGUUCUGGCCUUGGAGUCAGGAGGACCUGAGUUCAAAUAUGGCCUCAGAUGCUUGACACUUGGCGGAGAAGAAGACAACAAAGUCAAAGCUCCUACAUCCAAAGCCUCCUAGAAAAAUAUAAAUCAGUCCCAGGCCUUGGAAGAGCUCAAAAAGGAUUCUGAGAAGCAAGUAAGAAAAGUAGAGGAAAAACUGGGAAGAGAAAUGAGAGUGGCGCAAGAAAAUCAUAAAAAACAAAUCAACAGCUUGCUAAAGGAGACCCCAAAAAAAUACUGAAGAAAAUAACACCUUAAAAAAUAGCCUAACCCAAAUGGCAAAAGAGGUCCAAAAAGCCAAUGAGAAGAAUGCCCCAAAAAGCAAAACUGGACAAAUGGAAAAGGAAUUACAAAAGGUUACUGAAGAAAAUACUUCCUUAAACAUUAGAAUAGAGCAAUUGGAAGCUAGUGACUUUAUAAGAAAUCAAGACACAGACGCUUGACAGCUGUGUGAUUCUGGGCAAGUCACUUAACCCUGAUUGCCUCACCAAAAAAAAAAAAAAAAAAGAGGCCAAGGUGAAUGGGGUGGGGGGGGAGGAAGUGAGGAGAUACAGCCUCCUGGGCCUGCAUAGGCAUGAACAUUGGAGAGGGAAUGUUGAGUUCAGUCAACAGCACAAGUCUCAGUUUGACCUGACGGUAAGUGUGUGAACAAGAGUAAUAUGAGAUGAUGUCCAAAAGACAUCGAGGCCACGUUGGUGAAUGCCAGGAUGAAGGUUUUGUAUUUUAUCCUGGAGAUAAUGGGAAGCCACUGAUGAUUUUUGAUUGGAGGAUGUUGGUGGUAUGGUCAAAUCUGUGAUGGGAAUAUUAACUUAGCUGCCAUUUUGGAGGAUGGAAAGGGUGGAGAUAGAAAGGCAGGUGACCCAUGAGGUGGUUGUAAUCUUCCCAAUGAGAAAUGCUAAGGGCCUGAACUGUCUAGUGGUGAUGGGAAUGAUGGGGUGAGAUGUUGAGGAAAGAGGACUGACCAGACUUUACAACUGAUUGGAUAAAGAAGUGAGUUGAGUCAAGGAGGACUCCAAGGUGGCACCCCUGGGUGAUUGGGAGGAUGGAAAGGGGAGGAGAUGGGGGCUUCUAGGAAAUACAAUCGUUCUAUUUUGGAUGUGUCACAAAUGAGAUGCUGAUGAGACAGCAGGUGUAGAUGUGUAUCAGGCAGACUGCAGUUAAGAAGACAGCUUAGGGCUGGGUAUAUAAAUUUGGGAUUCCUCUGACUAAAGAUUUCAGCAGAACUCUCCAGAAGCCCAGGGAAGAGGCUGAUUGGUAUAAGUGACUAGAGAGCCUGUCUUCAAGUCAGGAAGACCUAAGUUCAAAUUCUACCUCCGAUAGAUAUUGACUGUGGGACCGUAGGCCAGUCACUUAACCUCUGAGUGCCUCUUGGCAACUCUAUUAGUUGUGGAGAAGGUGCCACCCUAAAUGCGUGGACUAAGUUGCUUCAUGUAGACAUUCCCUACCUGCAGAGAUGAAACCAUUGUCCUUUCCCUUUGGGAGCUGAUGGGCUUUUAAGGAGAAUGUUGAGAGAAUAGGAAUCCCAGGACAGAGCCUUAUGGGGACAGAGCCAGAAGAUCGGCCUUCAAAGGAGAAGGAAGAGCAUGUUGUUUCUUGUUGUGCCCUGUUAGAUUGUAAGCUCCUAGGGCAGGGAUUGUCUUUUGCCUUUUUUUGUAUCCUGAGGGCUUAGCAUAGUGCACAUAGCAGGCACUUAAUAAAUGUUUAUCGAUUGAUAAUUUUGUGGUUAGA